This 87-nucleotide transfer RNA is filed under the name Cordylochernes scorpioides. RNAcentral describes it as "tRNA-Ser". It matches the Rfam family "tRNA". From Rfam's summary of the family: Transfer RNA (tRNA) molecules are approximately 80 nucleotides in length. Their secondary structure includes four short double-helical elements and three loops (D, anti-codon, and T loops). Lineage: Eukaryota; Metazoa; Arthropoda; Arachnida; Pseudoscorpiones; Chernetidae. The record is from RNAcentral.
CCCUCGAUAGCUCAGUUGGCAGAGCGGAGUACUGGAGAUGUUACAAUGGUGAUCCUUAGGUCGCUGGUUCAAAUCCGGCUCGAGGGA